RNAcentral lists this ribosomal RNA (497 nucleotides) under uncultured bacterium. RNAcentral's name for it is "partial 16S ribosomal RNA". It matches the Rfam family "Bacterial small subunit ribosomal RNA", at positions 28 to 507 of the family's 1533-position model. The record is from RNAcentral.
GAUGAACGCUGGCGGCGUGCCUAAUACAUGCAAGUCGAGCGAACGGACGAGAAGCUUGCUUCUCUGAUGUUAGCGGCGGACGGGUGAGUAACACGUGGAUAACCUACCUAUAAGACUGGGAUAACUUCGGGAAACCGGAGCUAAUACCGGAUAAUAUUUUGAACCGCAUGGUUCAAAAGUGAAAGACGGUCUUGCUGUCACUUAUAGAUGGAUCCGCGCUGCAUUAGCUAGUUGGCAAGGUAACGGCUUACCAAGGCAACGAUGCAUAGCCGACCUGAGAGGGUGAUCGGCCACACUGGAACUGAGACACGGUCCAGACUCCUACGGGAGGCAGCAGUAGGGAAUCUUCCGCAAAGGGCGAAAGCCUGACGGAGCAACGCCGCGUGAGUGAUGAAGGUCUUCGGAUCGUAAAACUCUGUUAUUAGGGAAGAACAUAUGUGUAAGUAACUGUGCACAUCUUGACGGUACCUAAUCAGAAAGCCACGGCUAACUACGUG